Molecule: ribosomal RNA, 1319 nt
Filed under: metagenome
Description: bacterial LSU rRNA
Rfam family: Bacterial large subunit ribosomal RNA
Source: RNAcentral
GCGAGCUGGUACAUGGCCCGUACCCCAAACCGACACAGGUGGUCAGGUAGAGAAUACUAAGGCGAUCGAGAGAACUGUGGUUAAGGAACUCGGCAAAAUGCCCCCGUAACUUCGGGAGAAGGGGGACCAGUCCUGGUGACGACAUUUACUGUCUGAGCUGGGGUUGGUCGCAGAGACCAGAGAGAAGCGACUGUUUACUAAAAACACAGGUCCGUGCGAAGUCGUAAGACGAUGUAUACGGACUGACGCCUGCCCGGUGCUGGAAGGUUAAGAGGACCGGUCAGCCACUUCGGUGGCGAAGCUGAGAAUUUAAGCCCCAGUAAACGGCGGUGGUAACUAUAACCAUCCUAAGGUAGCGAAAUUCCUUGUCGGGUAAGUUCCGACCUGCACGAAUGGCGUAACGACUUCUCUGCUGUCUCAACCACAGACUCGGCGAAAUUGCAGUACGAGUAAAGAUGCUCGUUACGCGCGGCAGGACGAAAAGACCCCGGGACCUUCACUAUAGCUUGGUAUUGGUGUUCGGUUCGGUUUGUGUAGGAUAGGUGGGAGACUGUGAAACUCGCACGCCAGUGUGGGUGGAGUCAUUGUUGAAAUACCACUCUGACCGUAUUGGACAUCUAACCUCGGACCAUGAUCUGGUUCAGGGACAGUGCCUGGUGGGUAGUUUAACUGGGGCGGUUGCCUCCUAAAAAGUAACGGAGGCGCCCAAAGGUUCCCUCAGCCUGGUUGGCAAUCAGGUGUUGAGUGUAAGUGCACAAGGGAGCUUGACUGUGAGACGUACAUGUCGAGCAGGGACGAAAGUCGGGACUAGUGAUCCGGCACCGGCAAGUGGAAGCGGUGUCGCUCAACGGAUAAAAGGUACCCCGGGGAUAACAGGCUGAUCUUCCCCAAGAGUCCAUAUCGACGGGAUGGUUUGGCACCUCGAUGUCGGCUCGUCGCAUCCUGGGGCUGGAGUAGGUCCCAAGGGUUGGGCUGUUCGCCCAUUAAAGCGGCACGCGAGCUGGGUUUAGAACGUCGUGAGACAGUUCGGUCUCUAUCCGCCGCGCGCGUAAGAAACUUGAGGAAACCUGUCCCUAGUACGAGAGGACCGGGACGGACGAACCUCUGGUGUGCCAGUUGUUCCACCAGGAGCACCGCUGGUUAGCUACGUUCGGAAGGGAUAACCGCUGAAAGCAUCUAAGCGGGAAGCCUGUUCCAAGAUGAGGUUUCUCACCACCUAGCGUGGUUAAGGCCCCCCACAGACCAUGGGGUUGAUAGGCCAGAACUGUAAGCACAGCAAUGUGUUCAGGUGACUGGUACUAAUCGGCCGAGGACUUACC